Gadus macrocephalus (Pacific cod) is the source of this 532-nucleotide long non-coding RNA. RefSeq lists it as uncharacterized. Lineage: Eukaryota; Metazoa; Chordata; Actinopteri; Gadiformes; Gadidae. The transcript has 2 exons. The record is from RefSeq and is a predicted model, not a curated record.
AGUAGGGGACCACUGCAGGUCCUCCACAGACUUGGUGUGGGAGCUGAAGGGUCGCUGGUCCACCGUCCAGGUGGCGCCUCCUUCCCGUGGCUCCCACACAUGGAUGUUCUUCUUACAGUCCCCACUGGCUAAACGGCCUGGUAUUUUAGGGGACCAAUCCAGUGCAAAGCCUUCAGUCAUGUGGCCUGAGAAACUAAAGAGGGGCUUGGUUUCUUUCUGGUUUUUAAUAAAUUCAGCCAUGGCAGUUGAGCUGUGGACAGCUUCCAACGCGGCUUUUAGGUCAAAUAUUUCCACCUGGCCUUUAUCCGACCACACGGCAGCCAGAGGCCGCUCUGACCAUUGGGUGACCUGAAGGAAAAUAAUCUUAGUCUCCAUUUGAAAACAUUAUCAAAGUCCAUUCAUGUCAGCAAAACUAAUUCCCCCCCCCCCCCCUCAAGCACAAUGAGACAAGAUAACAGGUUAAAAAGGAAGGCCAUGGCAGGGGUACAAGUCUUCAUCUGUUAAAAAUUGAAAUGCUUCGUUUCAUACAAAA